GUCCCCGUAGCUUAAAAAUGCUAAAGCGUGGCACUGAAGAUGCCAAGAUGGCUGCCGCACGCACCCAGGGACA
RNAcentral lists this transfer RNA (73 nucleotides) under Calidris pygmaea (Spoon-billed sandpiper). RNAcentral describes it as "tRNA-Phe". It matches the Rfam family "tRNA". From Rfam's summary of the family: Transfer RNA (tRNA) molecules are approximately 80 nucleotides in length. Their secondary structure includes four short double-helical elements and three loops (D, anti-codon, and T loops). The record is from RNAcentral. Lineage: Eukaryota; Metazoa; Chordata; Aves; Charadriiformes; Scolopacidae.